Molecule: long non-coding RNA, 199 nt
Organism: Athene cunicularia (burrowing owl)
Lineage: Eukaryota; Metazoa; Chordata; Aves; Strigiformes; Strigidae
Exons: 3
Source: RefSeq, a predicted model, not a curated record
CUGGUCCCUUGACUUACAGCUCUCGGACAAACUCUUUCAUUACAGUGUCUUCUUGUCGACAGGUUGAGAGUUACAAAUAGCAGGUGUUGGCAUUUGUGAUAGAUGCUGAUGAAAGACGAGAAACAACAGCAAAACUUAGUUCUGGAAAAAAACUUGUGGUGGAUUGGGUUUUAAACAUCAGAGAGCAAACACAGGAUAU